CGAGUCUGUACCCUCUGUGUCCUCUAUAAUGUUCAGUCCCUGUGGGAGCCCAAACAGUAUCAAAAUCUGUUGAGCUUGAACUGUGUUUGGUGACUAUUGUCACUGGUUCCACGCGGAGGCUCAGCCGGAACCAGUUCCCAGAGCAGAUAUAUAACAGACAGUCCCCCAAACCAGGGCUGUUAUGAAGAAGCAGACAGUGACAAAGUGACGAGGUAAAGGAGACUCUGAUUUCAUGUGUCUUUUAUUUCACCACUGCCCUUUAAUUUCUGUUACCUCUGCAGGGCAACCCAACUGAGUAAGUAAUUCAGCUCAAACCACAACCUUGAGCCCAGCACAGUCCCAGGCUCUGAAAUGCAUGAGAUAAGUAAGACACUUAGGAGUUCAUAAUGUAUAAGAACAGAAAAAUGGAAUCACAAACACUCAAUACAGUUUUUUUUUUAAGUAGAAAAACACUAACGAAUACUAUUAGCGAUAGUUAAUCUUUAUUGAGUUGUUGCUUGUGGCCAGGUGCUGCUCUCCGCAUUUUGCAUGGAUUAACUCGUUCAUCAUAACGUAAGGCACUCUCCGUUAUAGAGCUAAGCUUUGGGGAGCAAAGUUAGCCCAGUUAGCCCACACUGACGUUAGUGCAAAGCCAGCGCCCGGCUUUCUGCACCAGUUUCGGCCUGUGAUGCGCCCGCCCACUUGUCAGAGCGUCUGCAAUCUGGAGAGAAUUUCUUAGCAAUCAUUUUCCAGUGACGGAAAAUCCUAGCCCUGGGAGGACUGCUAUCCACUGAUACUGCAAGAAGUCUUUGGGUGACUGUGAAAAAUGAGUUCCCUUCUGAUUUUUACCAACCUUUGUUUUUCGAAUCUUCCUUUUAAGAGACAGAAUUGGGCUUGAUCGCGGCGUGGGGUCAGGUCACCGAUGAAAGGAGCAGCGUCAGGGAGAAAUGGUUCUCGUGACAGCUGUUUACCCGCCACGGAGGAGUUCCAGGAAUGUACCGUCACAAGCAGAUGGUGCAAUUUGGCGGUGGGCAAGCUGUCGGUCCAGGCGGCCUGUGCUGAUCUGAAGGGGGAAAUCGCUCUGCUUUGCUACAGCGAGAGCACAGGCGCCCAUCUCUCUUACCCUGACCCAGCUGCCAGAUUCCAGCCAAGCCUUAUGGGGGGCUCCGUUGCCACACAACAAAGCCAUGGCCUUUAUUUUGCCGCUGACGGGAGAAGCGUGAAGAAGAUCACGAAAACGGCUUGGUGGACGGGAGGGAGUGCUGUCCUCGGAGUCUGGGGAUGA
This 1264-nucleotide long non-coding RNA is filed under the name Ursus americanus (American black bear). RNAcentral describes it as "lncRNA (ENSUAMG00000025804.1)". The record is from RNAcentral. Lineage: Eukaryota; Metazoa; Chordata; Mammalia; Carnivora; Ursidae.